RNAcentral lists this ribosomal RNA (209 nucleotides) under Enterococcus faecalis. Its description in RNAcentral is "partial 23S ribosomal RNA". It matches the Rfam family "Bacterial large subunit ribosomal RNA", at positions 1698 to 1896 of the family's 2925-position model. The record is from RNAcentral. Lineage: Bacteria; Bacillati; Bacillota; Bacilli; Lactobacillales; Enterococcaceae.
ACCCCCACCACAGAACAUUGCAACAACCAUCUCGAUGCUAACUUCGGUCAGCCGCAGUGACUAGGCCCAAGCGACUGCUUAUCAAAAACACAGGUCUCUGCAAAAUCGUAUGAUGAAGUAUAGGGGCUGACGCCUGCCCGGUGCUGGAAGGUUAUGAGGAUGGGUUAGCUUCACAGGUCGGUCAUCCGCACUAUUUGUGGUUUUUUUUU